Molecule: ribosomal RNA, 407 nt
Filed under: uncultured bacterium
Lineage: Bacteria
Description: partial 16S ribosomal RNA
Rfam family: Bacterial small subunit ribosomal RNA
Source: RNAcentral
GACGAACGCUGGCGGCGCGCUUAACACAUGCAAGUCGAGCGAAGCGGCGGACGGGUGAGUAACACGUGAGUAACCUGCCUUAGACAUUGGGAUAGCCUCGGGAAACCGGGAUUAAUACCAAAUGGUCUAAGAUGGACUCGCGUCGCAUUAGCUAGUUGGUGAGGUAACGGCCCACCAAGGCGACGAUGGGUAGCCGGCCUGAGAGGGUGAACGGACACAUUGGAACUGAGAAGCGGUCCAGACUCUGCGGGAGGGAGGAGUGGGGGAUAGUGCACAAUGGAGGGAACGCUGAUGCAGCGACGCCGCGAGAACGAAGAAGGCUUUCGAGUCGUAAAGUUCGUUUAUAUGGGAAGCGGUACCAGAAGAAAAAGCCCCGGCUAACUACGUGCCAGCAGCCGCGGUAAUUC